UUUUGUACCUCCUGUAUCCAUUUAUCUCUUUUGCCAUGGAAUCCUCAACAUCUUCUUCUUAUUCGUUAAACCACGCAGGAGCAAAGCACUUGUAUCCAAUUUUUUGCUCAUGUCGUCAUCUUUAUUGAUGAAACAGAGGAACUGAUAGACGCCCUAAACUAACCCGUAACUCCAAAUAAGCGAGGAAGGGGAAAGGGGAAUUUUAUUUUCCAUUUGAUUCACACUUGAAGUAUCAUUCUCCUAUCACCAUGCUCAGUUUGAGCACCAAGUUUCAGGUCUUCUUUCUGGGAAUUAGGAAAUCAAAUUUGGAGAAAGCAACCAUUAAUAAUUUUUCUACGGUAAAUUCAAACAUCAAAACAUCAGAUUGAGCACCAAGUUUCAGGUCUUAUCUUGCUUUGCUCCUUCACUAUCUCUUCAUGGUUUAUUAUAUUUUGAGGACUGUUGCCUUCUUUAGUUUGUUAAUUGCAUGUAUUGGAACUUGACAGUGUCGUCGUAUGUAACAAUUGAAUAAAUUCCAGCAGAACUAAGUGCUCUUUUGUUAUGUUUAACAAAGGUUACGUACUUGCUUAGUUGGAGUUCUAUUUGGAAUCAGCUUUAAAAUUCAAUCUAUGUAACAUGGUUUCUCUCAUUUAUUUGUUGCUAGUUUCUACAUGUAAUAUGGUACUUCUAAGAAGAUUUUAGUUAUAGAAGUAAUAUGCUAUAAUAGUGCUAACAUCUUGUUUAAGCUUGAUUAAACCUGUUUCAUGAAAUGACAAACAUGCCACAUCUUUUAAAUGUACUUGUGAAUUUGGAAAUUGAUUACUAACGUAGAAAACUAAGUUUUGCUUUGCUUUCUGUUUUGCAAUGGAGGAGAGAAGUUGUGUUUGCUGGAUUUGAGGUGCCUAUCCAAAUGGAUGUUUCUAUAGAGAAAAUGAUUUUUGAGGUUCUAGGAACUGAUCCACAAGACGAGAUGAACUAAUUAAGGUUCUUGGUAUCGAUCUGCCCUGGAGAAUGCACAAAUCAUCUGAUGGGCAAAGAAGAAGAGUGCAGAUAUGUAUGGGUCUUCUGAAACUAUUCAAGCUCUUUGGCCCUCACCAUAUCCUUGUGCUGCUUCUACCUACAAUAAGAUUGCUGAACUUUUAAAACUUCCCAUACCAACAUCCUCUCAGCACAUUAAAGGUGAAUAAAGGAAGAGGUAGAAGAAAGAAAUGAAGACCUUCAAAGUAUUAGCUGAACAGUGCAAGGCCUUUAAAUUUUCUAGUUUUUAUGAACUCGUGUAUGCCAACUAUUGAACAUGUCAAACAAAUUUGUAUAUUCUGCUUUAUAUAUGGAUAAUACUAGUUGGAUAAUUUGGAUUAUGAUCUUGUUGUUGAAUAUUUCUUUUGUAAUUUACAUAAAUUUUAAUAUAUUAUAUUUGGUUU
This is a long non-coding RNA of Solanum stenotomum, 1400 nucleotides long. RefSeq lists it as uncharacterized. Lineage: Eukaryota; Viridiplantae; Streptophyta; Magnoliopsida; Solanales; Solanaceae. The transcript is spliced from 6 exons. The record is from RefSeq and is a predicted model, not a curated record.